UGAGAGUGAAGUAGACCUCUCUGGAAGCAGGUCGGGAAGCGUCUUCGGCCGCCUCAGCUCCACCGGUUCCAUCGUCUGGAUUCUCCCGUGAAACGACGACGCCCUUUCAGAUAACCUUACCCUCCGGCUCUUCUCCGGUUCCUUACGGUUAUUUUUUGAAUUCCUCAUCGGAUUGAAAUGAUCGACCGUGGUAUAUUAUACAGUGAUUCAAAUCUUAAAUAAAUAAAUAAAUAAAACUUCUCUUCGCUGCUUUUUUAGGUUGGAGAGUGAGACAAGGGUUACCGCAAUCGCCGGUGGCGGAAAAACCUAAACCGAGGGAAACCGAGAGCGGGGACAGAGCGACGGCUCUCGAGUUUCCG
This 359-nucleotide long non-coding RNA is filed under the name Gossypium barbadense (sea-island cotton). Its description in RNAcentral is "long non-coding RNA (GBAR_LNC019322)". Lineage: Eukaryota; Viridiplantae; Streptophyta; Magnoliopsida; Malvales; Malvaceae. The record is from RNAcentral.